This 383-nucleotide long non-coding RNA is filed under the name Sorghum bicolor (sorghum). RNAcentral describes it as "long non-coding RNA (SBIC_LNC016892)". The record is from RNAcentral. Lineage: Eukaryota; Viridiplantae; Streptophyta; Magnoliopsida; Poales; Poaceae.
AAAGGUACAGCAGGACAUUCCUGGACAUGGAGUGAAGGAACAGCUCCAGAACCUUUGCAAUGUUUAUGCCCUCUACAUUCUUCACAAGCACCUGGGCGACUUCCUGGCAACUGGGUGCAUCACACCGAAGCAGGGAGCGUUGGCAAAUGAGCAACUUGGCAAGCUUUACGCACAGGUAUGCUGGUGUUUUUUUUGUCUUCUAGUAGCAGUAUUUCUGUAUGAUAUGAAGUGUAAGUUGGUGCUGGACAUGAUCUGCAACAGGUGCGUCCAAAUGCUGUUGCUCUGGUGGAUGCGUUCAACUACACAGACCACUACCUGGGGUCGGUGCUGGGGCGGUAUGACGGGAAUGUGUACCCGGCACUGUAUGAGGAGGCGUGGAAGGA